Brassica napus (rape) is the source of this 122-nucleotide non-coding RNA. The record is from Rfam. Lineage: Eukaryota; Viridiplantae; Streptophyta; Magnoliopsida; Brassicales; Brassicaceae.
AUGCCCCCAUGAGUUCCCUUUAACGCUUCAUUGUGAUUACUUCAGUCACAUUUAUUUUUCUUAAAUGUUUGGUCGAUUUUUGUAUACAACACUGAAGUGUUUGGGGGGACUCGUGGUGCCAU